AGAGUUUGAUCCUGGCUCAGAACGAACGCUGGCGGCAUGCCUAACACAUGCAAGUCGAACGCCCCGCAAGGGGAGUGGCAGACGGGUGCAUAACACGUGGGAACCUACCCUUGGGUUCGGAAUAACCGCGGGAAACUGCGGCUAAUACCGGAUACGUCCUCUGGGAGAAAGAUUCAUCGCCCUUGGAGGGGCCCGCGUCGGAUUAGCUAGUUGGUGAGGUAACGGCUCACCAAGGCGACGAUCCGUAGCUGAUCUGAGAGGAUGAUCAGCCACACUGGAACUGAGACACGGUCCAGACUCCUACGGGAGGCAGCAGUGGGGAAUAUUGGACAAUGGGCGCAAGCCUGAUCCAGCAAUGCCGCGUGAGUGAUGAAGGCCUUCGGGUUGUAAAGCUCUUUUGGCAGGGACGAUAAUGACGGUACCUGCAGAAUAAGCCCCGGCUAACUUCGUGCCAGCAGCCGCGGUAAUACGAAGGGGGCUAGCGUUGUUCGGAAUUACUGGGCGUAAAGGGCGCGUAGGCGGUUUCGCUAGUCAGGCGUGAAAUCCCCAGG
Molecule: ribosomal RNA, 551 nt
Filed under: uncultured freshwater bacterium
Lineage: Bacteria
Description: bacterial SSU rRNA
Rfam family: Bacterial small subunit ribosomal RNA
Source: RNAcentral